Sinocyclocheilus rhinocerous is the source of this 160-nucleotide long non-coding RNA. RefSeq lists it as uncharacterized. NCBI's taxonomy places the organism in Eukaryota, Metazoa, Chordata, Actinopteri, Cypriniformes, Cyprinidae. The record is from RefSeq and is a predicted model, not a curated record. The transcript has 3 exons.
CCGAGUGCGAGUAAAAAUGAGCAUUACGAGACAGGCUGCGUGAGUGCGGCAAGCGUGAACAGCUUGUCCGUGACGCGGGAUUCGCGCCGCAUGGGGUAGAGAGGAGCGAGUAUGAGAAGCAUUCACAGACACAGGCUGUGUGUGCGCUCUUCUGAAUUGG